GCAAGUCGAACGGAUCCUUCGGGAUUAGUGGCGGACGGGUGAGUAACACGUGGGAACGUGCCUUUUGGUUCGGAACAACUCAGGGAAACUUGAGCUAAUACCGGAUAAGCCUUUCGAGGGAAAGAUUUAUCGCCAUUAGAGCGGCCCGCGUAGGAUUAGCUAGUUGGUGGGGUAAAGGCCCACCAAGGCUACGAUCCUUAGCUGGUCUGAGAGGAUGAUCAGCCACAUUGGGACUGAGACACGGCCCAAACUCCUACGGGAGGCAGCAGUGGGGAAUCUUGCGCAAUGGGCGAAAGCCUGACGCAGCCAUGCCGCGUGAAUGAUGAAGGUCUUAGGAUUGUAAAAUUCUUUCACCGGGGACGAUAAUGACGGUACCCGGAGAAGAAGCCCCGGCUAACUUCGUGCCAGCAGCCGCGGUAAUACGAAGGGGGCUAGCGUUGCUCGGAAUUACUGGGCGUAAAGGGAGCGUAGGCGGAUAGUUUAGUCAGAGGUGAAAGCCCAGGGCUCAACCUUGGAAUUGCCUUUGAUACUGGCUAUCUUGAGUACGGAAGAGGUAUGUGGAACUCCGAGUGUAGAGGUGAAAUUCGUAGAUAUUCGGAAGAACACCAGUGGCGAAGGCGACAUACUGGUCCGUUACUGACGCUGAGGCUCGAAAGCGUGGGGAGCAAACAGGAUUAGAUACCCUGGUAGUCCACGCUGUAAACGAUGAGUGCUAGUUGUCGGCCGGCAUGCCGGUCGGUGACGC
This 745-nucleotide ribosomal RNA is filed under the name uncultured microorganism. RNAcentral describes it as "bacterial SSU rRNA". It matches the Rfam family "Bacterial small subunit ribosomal RNA", at positions 57 to 849 of the family's 1533-position model. The record is from RNAcentral.